Molecule: small nucleolar RNA, 94 nt
Filed under: Penicillium oxalicum 114-2
Lineage: Eukaryota; Fungi; Ascomycota; Eurotiomycetes; Eurotiales; Aspergillaceae
Description: A. fumigatus snoRNA Afu_455
Rfam family: A. fumigatus snoRNA Afu_455
Source: Rfam by way of RNAcentral
UUGGAUGAUGACUCCUACGACAUGCAAAGGCAUUCCUCAAUCUUAAGUUAUCAUGUGGAAUCUGUCAUACAUUAAGUUUCAGCCUUGUCUGACU